UGGCGGACGGGUGAGUAACGCGUGGGUAACCUGCCUCAUACAGGGGGAUAACAGUUAGAAAUGACUGCUAAUACCGCAUAAGACCACAGAGCCGCAUGGCUCGGUGGGAAAAACUCCGGUGGUAUGAGAUGGACCCGCGUCUGAUUAGGUAGUUGGUGGGGUAACGGCCUACCAAGCCAACGAUCAGUAGCCGACCUGAGAGGGUGACCGGCCACAUUGGGACUGAGACACGGCCCAA
RNAcentral lists this ribosomal RNA (238 nucleotides) under uncultured bacterium. Its description in RNAcentral is "partial 16S ribosomal RNA". It matches the Rfam family "Bacterial small subunit ribosomal RNA", at positions 96 to 334 of the family's 1533-position model. The record is from RNAcentral.